RNA transcript from Delphinapterus leucas (beluga whale), 5075 nucleotides. It is a transcript of the gene named high mobility group protein B3 pseudogene, with no coding region annotated. The record is from RefSeq and is a predicted model, not a curated record. Lineage: Eukaryota; Metazoa; Chordata; Mammalia; Artiodactyla; Monodontidae.
UGCGCGUCUGGGGCCUGUGCUCCACAACAGGAGAGACCACAACAGUGAGAGGCCCUCGUACCACACAAAAAAAAGACAAAAACAAAAACUUAAAGGGCCAUACUUGUGCUCAUAAUAACAAUCAAUAGAACUUUAGUUCUCAGAAUAGGGUUUGUAAAAUUAUUUUUAUAUAAAUGUUAUAAUUAAAUUAUUUUUACUUAAUUUUUCUCUAUAUAUAAUAUAAAUAUUAUGUUUUAUUUAAUUAUACAUGCAGUUUAUCAAUAGCAUACAAUUCCAAGAGGAUUCUAUAGUUCUUUAGAGGGUCCCAAGCAGGAUUGAGCCUGAGCUGUACAGGGUGAUAACCAUUCAAUGACACACAUUUUAUUGGCUUUCUCUUCUUGCCUGUAUCACUCUCCAUUUUCUGGGAUUACCUUCCAAAUAAGUUACAUGCACCUGAGAGUAUGUCUCCGGCUCUGCUUUCAGGGGAAACUAAGCUAAGACGGACAUUGUAAUGUACAGCCAGCCACACAAUAUAUAACUAGGCCCUUCGGGCUGACUUUCCCUUGCCUUCUACUACAAGGGGUGUGGACACUGUCAUCAAUAAAUGAAACUUAGUCACAUCUUUCUGAACUGUAGUCCCCGUUGUUAGAAAGACAGCAUGUAAUGGGGACAGUGUCAUCUCCAGGAAGUGGAUGCCUCCGGUCCAUGAAUUCUCUAGACCCCUCCCAUCCUGCCCCCUUUCACACGUUCCUGAAUGUAUCGGUCACAUUAAAUCAAUGAGACUAACUGAGCUGCUCCUUCCUUAUUCCACUGUUUCUCUGACAUCACCCAGGAAAUUACUGGAACCUUUGGUCUUAGCUGUCCCUCAACUGUGGUGCCGUCUCAACCAGUGUCUGCCAGGCUAGUAAUUCGUUUUCAGUAGAGAAGUAGCAAGCAGCUACAUUGGGUAAUUUUAGGGGCCAAGAGCCUCAAGUUCUACACUUAAGCCAAUCCUGAUAUACGUCAGAGACCAUCUCAUUAGAGCAUUUAUUGCACCCCAUCAAUCUUGUGGUGCAAUAAACAAGACCGAGCAGAGUACAGCAUAGAAUACCAAGCAUGAACACCGUCUUUUUUUUUCUUUUUUUUUUAAUCACCUGCAGCCUUUCAGGCCAACAUAUGCUUCUCUGAACUGAGAGCUUCGGAAGUAGCAUAAAUGUUAGUGGCAAGCAUCUCUGGGACUUAUGCUCACAGGCCUUUAGAUUGCCAAUAAAGGCGAUCUUGCAGAGACAUUCUUAAAAGUCUAGUGAUUUUUGGCUCUCUGUUCUUAUUUAAGAGAGAAACACCAAAAAUGGCUUGGAAACUUGGCCAGGAUGUUAACUAGUGGCUUCACUGUACAGUUUACUGUAGAUCUGUACUCAGGCCUUACUUUGUAGAUGCCCAAAUGUUAGCAUCUGUAGGGUUUUUUUCUCUUGGGCUAGUUUUCUGUUUGUUUGUACUGUUGUUAUUGUUCUGUAUUUCAGGAGAGGGUGUAAACCUGGCUGCUAUUAUUCUAGGAGCUGAGUAAGGGCAGGGGACUAAAGUUCUCACAACUCAGUAUGUAAAAUUUAACUUUACCUCCCUGUUUUACCUUUUGUCUUACUUCCCUGAAAUAUUCCUGAGGCUAGAGCUCUGUUUCGAUUUUUCCAGUGAGAAUACCUGGAAUGUCUUCUUCUGUUGGGGUGGGAAAGGUUUAGGUGCCUGGCUAUGCAAUGUUAGGGCUGGCAUCUAGAGAGCUAGCUGCUUUUUAUUAGACUUUCAACUAAUCUUGUUUUUAAUCCACACCCCAUUCAAAGUGACAGGUGCCUCCAAUUCUGCAGCCGUUCUUGUCUUGCUUUAUGGCUUUUCCGAUGGCAGAUGCUUAAAUUUCAGCUUUCUCUGCUUUUUUAAGUUUCCACUUGUCCACCUGCUUGCCAUUUUCCAAGUUGUAUUCUAGCAGCAAAUCACCUAUCUGAAAAGACUACCUAUCUCAGCCUCCUUUGCAUAUAGUUCUGGCCAAAGGGGAUAUGCUAUGAGAAACAUCAGGAAUGGCCCCUUAACGGGAUUUGAUUCGGCUGUGGAGCACAUCCUUUUAUCCUUCUCUUCUCCCUUCUUCCUACUGCCUGGAAUGUGGACAUGAUAGCUAGAAUGCCAGCAAUUAUCCUGAACUCAUGAGGGAACCUUGAGGAAGGAAGCCACAUACUGAGGAUGACAGAGCAGAAAUAUAGAAGCCUUGGUCCCUGGUGGCUGUGGAGUUACCCCAGACUAACAGCAGACUUCUUUUAUACUAACAGUAAUUCUGAUAAAUUCUAUCAUGUACAAUUUCCUUCAAAAGAGGGGGAAAGACUAUGAUACAUUGAUAAUUGUGUACAUUGCAUUACUGAGUAUGUUGCCGACAGGACAGAACUUCUUUUUGACCAGGAGGAUAAAAAUAGACUUCUCUCUCCCUAACAAUUUUACAUAUCUAGUGAUUGGAAGAAUUUCCAAUAGACUGACUCAUACCUCCUUUCCUUUUAAUCUUUGUAUAUAUGGUGCCAUCCACUGCAGUAUAAAGUCACAUUGCAAUGUAACCUCUGGCCCUGCACCUUUACAUGACAGGAUCCCAGGUGAGUUGGCACAGAGGGCAGUAGGAAUAUUCCUGGGAGCCAUUUCUAUUCCUGGAUGGCUAGCAAUACUUACCUCUACACAGAAAUACUGCACCACACAUAAUCACAUUCCACGAAACCCAAACCAAUGUAUGCUCAGUUCAACUUCCCAUUAACUGGAUCCCAUUAACUGGCCACACUGUGGCCAUUCCAAUGUGACAUGACUAAGGGAAGUCUAUCAGAAGGAACAUCAGAAUGGAAGGAAAUAGAGGUCUUAACUGAUCGUGAUGGAAAUAUCUUCGGCGAAUUUUACUCAAACAUAUGACCACAUGAGAUCAUUUCUAGGCCCUUAAUGGGCUUGGAAGGAGUCCGUGUAAGUGAGGGACCCUGAAGCUUAAGCUCCAUUAGCUUCACAGUAUAUUUGCCUUGGGUAGGACAGGUGGAAUAACAUUUAACAAACAGGAACACUUAGUUUAUUUAUGCUGUUGCAACCACAGUACCAGGAGAAACAACAGUCACUAUGCCCAAAAUUUCUUGUGUUGAAUGGGACUUGGGGACAUUCUUUUAUUCACAAACCCAACACUUCUCUGUGGUCUUAAUCACUGGCUUCUGCAUAAAUUCCUCCCAAAUUUCACUUCUGUUUCUCCUUCUUUUUUUUUUUGUGGUUGCAGGAACUUCAAACUGUGAGGUCUCAUCCUCUUUGUUGGACCUAUUUCCAAGUAUCUUGCUGACCAAGACACAUUCUUAGCAAAUGAGUCAUGUUUACCUAAACCUGCUAAUUCAGUACAAUUUAUUUCUAACUUAUUAAUACACAAAGUAGUUUUCAAACACAUAUAUCCACAUGAUGCUUUAAUCCUUUAUAUAACUUCUAUCCAGAUAUAUCAUGCAAAAUUUUAUACUCAGAAAAGUUCCAUGUUUUAUAUACUUAUUAAUUUUAUAAAUUUCCUCAGAAUAUAUUCUUCUUUUGAUCAAUUCUACACUUCAUUAUAAGUUAAAGAAAAUGGCAGUGUAGCAAUGGGAUGGUGGAUGAUUUCUCUGGUAUGAGUAGCAGAGGCUAAAAGUAGAACCAUUACUACAGUACUUUCACCUUACAGAGCAGUCGAUAUUUUUCAUAAGAUUUUUCCUCUGGAUUGUUCUGCCAGCUUUUUAGGUUUUUCAACCUCCACAGGCUUGCUGUACUAUCAGAAUCGUGGGUUGGUUUAGCUGAUUCUCUGUAGAGAAUAACUGCUAAUAAUUGCUGUUUCAGAAAACAAGUCAACCAAAGUUAACUAACAAACACUUGCUGAGAUUCUAUAUUGAUUUAAAAAUAUACAAUAAAGCUAAUGGAAAUAUUAGUACCGUCCAAAAGGGACAUAAGAAGCACUUUAUAGAAAGAAUUUAGGAAUUUGAAACUAGAUUCUAGGUUAACGUUUGAGGAGUUUGUUUAUUUCACAGUGUUAGUAUGUGAAGAUCAAAUUCUCUUGGCUUAGCAGCUGUGAUGGAUCAUCCUAUUGUGCAAUGUAGAAACUCAGGUUUAAUAUGAUCUCACAUAAAACUCAUUUAGCCAUUAAUUGAAAAUAGACAAAUAGGCUGGUCAUGGAUUGGCAAUUUUGGCCUUUUUACUUAUUUAAUUUAGCCUAGUUUGUUUUCUUCAACUUCACCUUCAUUGAGCAUUCCUGGGUUAAAAAAAUGCAUAUUUGUUUGUGUGUUUAAUUGUAUUUAUUGCAUUUAAUUUUAAAUGCAAUACAUUUUAAUUAAAAAAAUAAAGCUAUUUAAAUAAGACUACAGCAGUAGUAACAUUUCACAGCUGCAAAAUGUCUCCUUAUUCCCCCUCUUUUUCUCUGUCUCCCCUUCAUACACAUUGCAUUGUUUCUCUUAAUAGUUUCUCUAGUAUUCUAAAAUUAUGUGGCAUAAGGUCUGUCUCUUUUAAUGAUGAAUAUAAACCUUGGACAUUUCAGUGUAGUAACUUUGACUUCAGGCCUUUUAUUCCCACUUCAAAUAUAAUUUUGGUUCACUUCCAUUCAGUGGUAUACACUGUUCCACGAUUAACUUUGUUCUGUGCUGAACUCUGGUACUAAAUGUUAUGUUCAAAUCUGGGCUUCAAAGCUUUCAAAGCAACAUGAUAGAUCCAUAUUACAUGUCCUCAUGAUUGCAGAUCUCGGCAUGGUCAAGUGUUCCUGGAGAAAGAAGCUGACCUCUUGGCAACAACAACUCUUGGAGAUGGAAGGUCAUUUGAGGACAAAGUGAGAAAAUGGCUGUCUGCAAGCCAGGAAGAGAGGCCUCACCAAAUACCAAUCCUGACAGCAACUUGAGCUUGGACUUCUAGCCUCCAGAGCGGUGAGAACCUGAAGGACCCAAGGAGACACGGGUAAAGUGUCAAGGACCUGGAUGAGAUCCAUCUCUUGUUGCUACAUAAACAGAGGCUACACAAUUCACAGGCAUGUUUUUAAAAUGCGAACUCGGGCUUCCCUGGUGGUGCAGUGGUUAAGAAUCUGCCUGCCAAUGCAGGGGACACGGGUUCGAGCCCUGGUCUGGGAA